AAAGUCGUAACAAGGUCUCCGUAGGUGAACCUGCGGAGGGAUCAUUAACGAGCAAGGGGCGGAAAAGCGCCCGACCUCCAACCCUUUGUGUGCGAAAACCCAGUUGCCCUCGGGGCCCCCCGUCCGCGGGUGCCCCCGGCGGGCCCACCAAAAACACUGCAUCUUUGCGUCAGAGUACAUUUUUUGAAUAUAAUCAAAA
This 199-nucleotide unclassified non-coding RNA is filed under the name plant metagenome. RNAcentral describes it as "partial contains small subunit ribosomal RNA and internal transcribed spacer 1". The stretch from base 1 to 47 matches the Rfam family "Eukaryotic small subunit ribosomal RNA", at positions 1785 to 1831 of the family's 1831-position model. The record is from RNAcentral.